RNAcentral lists this transfer RNA (72 nucleotides) under Candidatus Levyibacteriota bacterium. RNAcentral describes it as "tRNA-Thr". It matches the Rfam family "tRNA". Rfam says of the family: Transfer RNA (tRNA) molecules are approximately 80 nucleotides in length. Their secondary structure includes four short double-helical elements and three loops (D, anti-codon, and T loops). The record is from RNAcentral. Lineage: Bacteria; Candidatus Levyibacteriota.
GCCGACUUAGCUCAGUGGUAGAGCAGCUGUUUUGUAAACAGCAGGUCAUCAGUUCAAAUCUGAUAGUCGGCU